This is a long non-coding RNA of Petromyzon marinus (sea lamprey), 288 nucleotides long. RefSeq lists it as uncharacterized. The record is from RefSeq and is a predicted model, not a curated record. Lineage: Eukaryota; Metazoa; Chordata; Hyperoartia; Petromyzontiformes; Petromyzontidae.
GACGUCUCCGAAAGCCCCGGAUGGGUCACGCCCACAUGGGUCACGCCCCGCGCCCCCCCCACCACCAAGGAGCUGUAUGUAAAUGUGGCGGCCAUGUUGGCUGAGGGGAGAAGUUGAAGCGGCGCCGUUUAAAGGGGCAACAGAUGGUAUCUGCCAUGCCUACAACCUGUGCAGCGAUUAAAUGUCCCGAGGAGCGAAGCAGAGAUUCGUUCAUGAGGGGUAUCACCUUUCAUGGUUUUCCAAAGGAUCCGUUUCGAAGAAAACAGUGGAGGAUAGCUGUUCGCCGAC